UUUAAUUAAUUAAAUAAAUUUUAAUUUUAUUGGUUUUAAAGAAAAUUUAUUUAUAUUUAUUAUGUGUACUGCAAAGGCUAAUAGAUUUAGAAAUUAAAAAGUAACUAUUUGUACCUUUAGUAUUAGGGAUUUUUAAAAAAAAAUAAAAUUUUAUUUUUCUCGAAGUCAACAGAUCUAUAAUUAUAAAACAACUUAUGUUUCAAAAUAUUUAUAUUAAUAUAAUUAUAGAAGUGAAAUUCUUGUCAAAGUUGAAGAUAACUAGUUAUUUUAAAUAAUUAUAUAUUAUCUUAUAAUAAUUUUAAAAUAUUAUAUAUUAUAAGAAAAGUUUUAAGGGAUAAGCUUUAAAAUUUUUCUAAAAAUUAAAUCAUAUUUUAGUAAAGAGUUAAAAUUUUUCUAAUAUUGUUAUAAGUAACUUUAAUUAUAUUUUAUAUAUUAGAAUUUAUUAUUUCAUUAAAAUUAACUUUUUUUUUUAAAUUAAUAUGAAAAUAUUAGUAAAAUUAAUUAUUUUGUAUUUAAUAUAAAAAAAUUAUUUAAAAUUUUAAAUAAUUUUAAAGAACUCGGCAAAAAUUUUUUUUGACUGUUUAAUAAAAACAAUGUAUUUAGAAAAUUAUUAAAUAUAAAUCCUGCUCAAUGUUUAAAUAAAUUGCUGUAGUAUUUUGACUAUACAAAGGUAUUGUAAUAAGAUUUUAAUUGAGUGCUAAGAGAAUGGAAUUUCAAAAAAAAUCUUUUUUAAAAUUAAAAAUUGAAGUUAUUUUUAUAUGUGAAGAAACAAUAAUAUAAAUUUAGGACAAGAAGACCCUAUGAAUUUUUAUGUUUUUAUAUAUCAGUAAAUAUAUAUAUUACAUUUAAUUGGGGCGAUUUAAAAAUAUCAAGAACUUUUUAUUUAAAAAAUUGAUCCAUUAAUAAUGAUUAUGUGAUUAAAUACUCUAGGGAUAACAGCGUAAUAAUUUUGGAUAGAUCUUAUAGAUAAAAUAGUUUGCGACCUCGAUGUUGGAUUAGGAUUCUUAUUUAAUGAAGAAGUUAAAAAAAGAAGUUUGUUCAACUUUUAAAUUCCUACAUGAUCUGAGUUUAGACCGAUGUGAAUCAGGUUGGUUUCUACCUUAAUUUCAAAAAUAUAUUUCAAUUAGUACGAAAGGAAUUUUGAAAUAAUUUAUAAUUCUUAAUUUUACAGUUUUUGCAUCAAAUUUUGGAAUU
RNAcentral lists this ribosomal RNA (1194 nucleotides) under Haemaphysalis inermis. RNAcentral describes it as "16S ribosomal RNA". The record is from RNAcentral. Lineage: Eukaryota; Metazoa; Arthropoda; Arachnida; Ixodida; Ixodidae.